UCUUUUAAUCGAGAUUUUGCCUUCGGGUACAAUUGAGACAGGUGGUGCAUGGUUGUCGUCAGCUCGUGUCGUGAGAUGUUGGGUUAAGUCCCGCAACGAGCGCAACCCUUGUGUUUAGUUGCAAACAGGUCAAGCUGUGCACUCUAGACAGACUGCCGUGGACAACACGGAGGAAGGUGGGGAUGACGUCAAAUCAUCAUGCCCCUUAUGAUCUGGGCUACACACGUGCUACAAUGGCCGGUACAACGGGCAGCGAAGGAGCGAUCCGGAGCGAAUCCUAAAAAGCCGGUCCCAGUUCGGAUUGCAGGCUGAAACUCGCCUACAUGAAGUUGGAGUUGCUAGUAAUCGCGAAUCAGAAUGUCGCGGUGAAUGCGUUCCCGGGUCUU
This 386-nucleotide ribosomal RNA is filed under the name uncultured Fusibacter sp. RNAcentral's name for it is "bacterial SSU rRNA". It matches the Rfam family "Bacterial small subunit ribosomal RNA", at positions 998 to 1382 of the family's 1533-position model. Lineage: Bacteria; Bacillati; Bacillota; Clostridia; Eubacteriales; Fusibacteraceae. The record is from RNAcentral.